Long non-coding RNA from Anguilla anguilla (European eel), 290 nucleotides. RefSeq lists it as uncharacterized. The transcript has 3 exons. The record is from RefSeq and is a predicted model, not a curated record. Lineage: Eukaryota; Metazoa; Chordata; Actinopteri; Anguilliformes; Anguillidae.
UGGUUUGUGGCCUGCGGCCUGUGUUGCGUUUGCUUGUUUUUUUAUUCUGUCUCUAGGUUCGCUAGCGUCUCUUCAUUAAGCUCGUGUGCGUUUCCCGUGUGGAUGGCGUGGUUUCUCAUAACGGACGGGUUUCUGGCGCGAAGUACGUGCGUGGCCUGACCUCGCUCGCGUCUGCCGAAGAAACUCGAGAUUGCGGCGUGCCCGGCUCACGAAACGUCGCGCGUCAGUAAACCGGGCUUUAUUUGCAUAAGAUUACAGAUGGGCUGAAUGGCCUGUUCUCCUCAUUAUGU